GUCAUCAUUUGAUCCCAUUACAAAUUGUAUACAGGUAUUUAUUUAUAUAUUUCAAAGUUUAUAUGUUGGGUUGUUGUUCACAUGACACAUCAUGAUUCAAAUUUUAAUUCUACUUUAUAUGAGGAAUUAUCUCAUUUUAAUGGAUUAGAAUUUAAUGGUAAAUCAAGAAUGUCAAAGUAGCAAGAUUCCCUGCUUAUGUCAUCACAUUUCCAUGGUUCACUGAAUAGUUAUUAAAGGUACCAGGAUUAUAAUUUAUUACGCCAGACGCGCGUUU
Molecule: long non-coding RNA, 274 nt
Filed under: Mytilus galloprovincialis (Mediterranean mussel)
Lineage: Eukaryota; Metazoa; Mollusca; Bivalvia; Mytilida; Mytilidae
Source: RNAcentral